This 28622-nucleotide long non-coding RNA is filed under the name Jatropha curcas. Its description in RNAcentral is "long non-coding RNA (JCUR_LNC001379)". The record is from RNAcentral. Lineage: Eukaryota; Viridiplantae; Streptophyta; Magnoliopsida; Malpighiales; Euphorbiaceae.
AUUGGAUGCUUCCUUAAUAAAAUUUUUCUUCGUGUACACUAUCUAUGGCCUCCGUUGGAACCAUUAAAAUCUCCGAAGAGGGAGAUAUGAUCAUGUUUUGCAUUAGCUUUGGGACCAAGCUUGAUUUUAAAUCUUGUUUCUAAGGUCCCUAAGUAGCCGUGGUCUCGUCUAUAUAUUUGUGUACGUACUGCCGUUUUAUAAGAAGUAAAGAAACCCAAGUAUUCUCUCUUCAUUUCAUCUUCUCCAUAGCUGGAAAACACCAACAGCGUUUUAAACUUCCACAGGUAAACAAUUGUAUUUGUAUAUACAUCAUUUUGAACUAUGCCUUCAGCCUAAGUUCUUGUUCCUNNNNNNNNNNNNNNNNNNNNNNNNNNNNNNNNNNNNNNNNNNNNNNNNNNNNNNNNNNNNNNNNNNNNNNNNNNNNNNNNNNNNNNNNNNNNNNNNNNNNNNNNNNNNNNNNNNNNNNNNNNNNNNNNNNNNNNNNNNNNNNNNNNNNNNNNNNNNNNNNNNNNNNNNNNNNNNNNNNNNNNNNNNNNNNNNNNNNNNNNNNNNNNNNNNNNNNNNNNNNNNNNNNNNNNNNNNNNNNNNNNNNNNNNNNNNNNNNNNNNNNNNNNNNNNNNNNNNNNNNNNNNNNNNNNNNNNNNNNNNNNNNNNNNNNNNNNNCAAGCAAGGCUAUACAAGAAAGACAGAAGUUAUGUAUAGCAGGCUGUUGCUCCAAGAACUGCAAAUCCAGCUACACAUUUGGGAGAAGUGUUGCAAGAAUUCUAAAAGAAGCGACUACUUUGAUCAAUGAAGGAGAUUUCAAAGAAGUGGUUAUGGCAGAACCAGCAAAUCAACUUCAAGCUAAUCUUGAAAAAUUGAAGACUUCAAGACAAGAAUUAUACGCAUUAAAGGAGGAUGUCAGGCAGAAUGUAGCGUUGGAGGAAGGGCCGGAAAAGAUGCUGCUGCAACAAGUUGGCUUGUGGCUUUCAAUGGCAGAAUCGACCAUAACUGAAGCGGAUGAGCUGAUACGAGAUGGUCCACCAGAAAUUCAAAAAUUGAGUCAUGGAGAUAUUUCCAACUACAGGUUUGUCGGAAGGGUCGCCAAAAAAUUAGAAGAUGUAGCCUUUGUAAAGGCCAAAGGAGUUUUCAAAGAAUUGGUUAGAAGAAUACCUGCAGAACCAGAUUACAUAAGUCAGCUUCAAGUUGAUCUUCGAGCUUUGGAGUCUAUAAUGAAAGAAUUAAAGGCUUUAAAGGAGGGAGUGAUGAUGAGGAUCACCUUGGAGGAAGGGCCACAAAAGAAGCAGCCACAAGUUCAACUUUGGCUCUCGAUGCUGGAACCAAUAGUGACUGUGGCGGAGGAGAUGAUAAGAAAUGGUCCACAAGAAAUUGAGAAAUUGCGUCGUAAAGACUUUUCCAGCUACGAAUUUGUGCGAAAGGUGGCCAAAGUGUUAGAAGAAGCAGUUGCUCUAAGAGCCAAAGGAGAAUUCAAAGAGAUGGUUGAGAGGGUACUUCCAGACCCAGUAGUUGAAAGGAAUGAAAAACCAACAUGUGGCAUGGAAGCGAUGUUAGGUGAUAUUUGGAGAUGGUUCACACAAGAUGAACUGGGCACUGUUGGCAUAUAUGGUAUGGGGGGUGUUGGCAAAACUACUCUCUUAAACCAAAUCAACAACAAGUUUGCUAGUACAACCCAUAAUUUUGAUGUUGUGAUUUGGGUGGUGGUGUCAAGAGAUUUGAAACCUGACAAGAUUCAAGAAGAUAUUUGGAAAAAGGUUGGCAUUUUUGAUGAGACGUGGGCAAAAAAAAUCCCCAGUGAGAAAGCAGAAGAUAUAUUUUAUAGGUUAAGCAGAACGAAGUUUGUAUUAUUUUUGGAUGACUUAUGGCAGAAGGUUGAUCUCAGAGACAUAGGGGUUCCUCUACAAAAAAAACAUGGGUCAAUGAUAGUAUUCACGACGCGUUNNNNNNNNNNNNNNNNNNNNNNNNNNNNNNNNNNNNNNNNNNNNNNNNNNNNNNNNNNNNNNNNNNNNNNNNNNNNNNNNNNNNNNNNNNNNNNNNNNNNNNNNNNNNNNNNNNNNNNNNNNNNNNNNNNNNNNNNNNNNNNNNNNNNNNNNNNNNNNNNNNNNNNNNNNNNNNNNNNNNNNNNNNNNNNNNNNNNNNNNNNNNNNNNNNNNNNNNNNNNNNNNNNNNNNNNNNNNNNNNNNNNNNNNNNNNNNNAAAUCUUGCUUCUUAUACUGUUCCUUAUUCCCGGAGGACUUCAAAUUUCUCAAGGAUGAUUUGGUACAUUAUUGGAUUUCUGAGAAUUUUUGCGCUCGAAAUGAAGGAUAUACUAUAAUUGGUUCACUUGUUCGAGUAUGCCUAUUGGAAGAAAAUGGAAAAUAUGUAAAAAUGCAUGAUGUGAUUCGUGACAUGGCUUUGUGGGUAGCAUGUAAAUAUGAAAAAGACAAGGAGAAAUUUUUCGUGCAAGUGGGUGCCCAAUUAACAAAAUUUCCAGCGGUCAAAGAAUGGGAAGGAUCAAAAAGAAUGUCGUUGAUGGCAAACUCCUUUAAAAGUAUCCCAGAAGUUCCUAGAUGCGGGGAUCUUUCGACUUUAUUCCUUGGUCAUAAUAGGUUUUUGGAGGAGAUCAGUGGUGAUUUCUUCCGGUAUAUGAAUUCGCUCACCGUUCUUGAUCUAUCAGAGACAUGUAUAAAGAAAUUGCCUGAGGGAAUUUCAAAAUUAACCUCAUUGCAAUAUCUUAAUCUGCGUAGUACACGUAUAACGCGGUUACCAGUUGAGUUGAAGUUAUUGAAAAAGCUGAAAUAUUUGAACUUGGAGCGUAAUGGCUUCCUAGAAAGUAUUUCAAGGGGAGGCAUAUCUAGUCUGUCAUCGUCACUGCAAAUUUUGAGAAUGUUCCAAGCCGGUAAUAUGGCUUAUGAAAAGUCGGUAAAUAACUUAUUGGGUGAAGGCAAUUUGCUAAUAGAGGAGCUCCAGUGUCUUGAAAAUUUGAAUGAACUGAGCCUGACAAUAAUAAGUGCCUCUAUGCUUCAGUUGUUUUCCAGCACCCAGACAUUACUCAACCGUACUCGAUCUCUACAGCUUAGAGGGUUCUACUUUCAAAGAUCUCUUAGUGUUUCUUCAUUAGCAAAUUUUAGGAACCUAGAGAUCCUGAACAUAUUUCAUACUUAUGAUUUAGAAGAGUUGAUCGUGGAUGUUAUGCUUGGUGAGAGUUCUACACAUCAUCAUACUAUCAGCAAGUCAAUGGUCUCAGCUCCAGUAUGCUUCAAUAGCCUCCGGGAAGUGAAUGUAUCGCGUAACUUCCGUCUGCGAGAGCUGACAUGGGUUGUUCUAAUCCCAAAUUUGGAAAUUUUGAUAGUGAGAUCCAAUAAGCAUAUGGAAGAAAUUGUAAGUGCUGAAAAGUUAAGUGAGCUUCAAGUUGGGAGUGAAAACAUGAACCUAUUUUCAAAACUCCAAGCUCUUAAAUUGUCUAAUUUACCAGAACUGAAAUGCAUAUAUAGGAAUGCUCUGUCUUUUCCACUUUUGAACAGAAUACAAGUACGUGAAUGCCCAAAGCUGGAGAAUAUACCAGAAGCACUGCAAGGUUGUGACUGACGCACAAGAACUAAUCUAAUGGAAACCUGUGCAAUAAAGAUUCAGAGGNNNNNNNNNNNNNNNNNNNCUGUUUGAGUUGUUUCCGCUUUGAUUGUAAUUUUGCAAUUGAGAUCCAAUUGGUUGGACUUGAUUGUAAUUACAUUUGAAUUUGAAUUGUCAAUUUAGUGCUUCCAUGGAAGAUCCUUAUAUUCCAAUUCACCUGCACCAAGAAGACCUGUACCAUGUUAGGCACAAUUUCACAGCUUCAGUCACUCUAUUAUGUUAUCAAAUAAAUUAGACUCAUAUAUAUAUGAAUAAUGAAUUAAAUUCAUCAGUUCAUUAAUAAGAAGAAGACAGAAGUAAAUUUCUUUCUUUUGAUCAUAAACUUCAACUACUGUCAAAGCCAUGCUCAAGCAUUUCUUUUGACCAUAUGGCUUUUAUUUGAUAUCAAACUUCACUGGUGCAAAGUCGAUCUCAGAUCUCCAUUAAUACAAAUGAUUCAGAGUAUAUACACAUCAGAAGUUAUAUCCAUCUUAAUAGAAUAUUAUACAUUAAUUUAAAUACAAAGAAAUUUACUAUAAUGGAGAAAAUGGAAUGAAAUGUAUGUUAGGAUAUAAUUAUAAUAAGUAUUAAUUUUGGGAGUUUCAUUGUAAUAAUUUGCAAAUACAAUUGAAAGUUAUUUUGUUACAGAGGUACUGAAUUGUUAUUAGUAAAUUGCUGAGAUGUAAGUUGAUGUGGCUUAUUUUAUCUGAUUGGGCGCCCCAUCAGCAGGCAUAUAUUAUAUAUAUACUCUUGUAAUGAGACAUUUUAGGGUUAAUGAAUGAAUACACUGUUUCCCUGAACACUUUUUUCUUCAAGUACUACGUUUAUAUAUUUAAUUUCUAUAAAAAUUCAACUUGUAAUAUCAUAUUUUUGACAUAAUUUCAAUAAAAUUCAAAUAACUUUGUUGGAAUACAAAUAAAAUUCAAAAAUCAAAAUUUUCCUUAACUAAAGAAAAGUUUAUUAUAUAUUAAUAUUAAAAAUUCAAAAAUUAUUCAUUUGGCUUGGCUCUCUCAAAAUUUAAAAAAUUUAUAUUCCAACUUAAUUCGACUCAGGCUCCACUUUAACUCUCUCUCUCUCUCCUAAUGAUCGUGUCUAAUUUUUUUUUUUCUUCUCUUAUUUUUUUGAAAAUUAGGACGAAAGUGAUUUUAUUUUAUUGUAAAAGGAAAUAAAUCUAUUUUGUCGCUAACUUGCACUCCACCUAACACCCAACGCAAAAGAGAAAGAGAACUUUACUUCUAACAUUGUUUUUAAUAGCAAGUGGCUUUUUGAUCCUUUUUUUAUAUUUUCGUACAAACAAACAAAAAAACAUUAGAUUUGAGUUGUUUACACAGUAAAAAUUAACACAAAAACGACAAAAAUGACUAAAAAAUUGGACCUCAUACCUUUCACUCUCAAUUUUCUUUAUAACAAUAGGAAACUAAAAAAUGACUAACACAAAAACGAGCAUAAGCAACACCCGCAAAAUCAUGCGGGAGCAAUGGAAAAAGACCUGCAGAUGGAGGAGAUUUAAUAGUAAAAUGUCUAAUAAAUAAUAUUCUAUUUUAGUUGAACUUGUUCUUCAUCCAUGUUUUUUUUUUUGUUUAGGUCUUAUGUUGAGUGUAUGGAUUGAUAGUAACUUAAUAAGAGAAAUUGUAGCUAAACCAACACUGUCUUGAGAUAUUGCUCAGAUAAUUUAAGCUUGCAUCUCAUGUCUUCAAAUCUUGAAUAAACAAAACUUUUGCCGAGGUAUCUACUGUACGGAAAUGGAGAAGAAGAGGAGAAUAUAAAAACAAAACAUAAACUCUUAACAACUAAAGACAGCAUAACGUUACAAAGAAAAAAACAGAUUUUACAUUAAAAAGACAAUGGCUUUUUUUUUUUUUUUCUUUACCUUUUCUUCAUAUUGCCGGCAUAACAUUUCCCCUCUCUCAACUCUCUCUUUCACACAUUAUCUUCCAUUUCCUUUGAUAAACAUUCUUUUACAGUAGUAAAAUGCAAAAUAGCUUUACUCUAAGUCAUUACCAACUCUCCUAUAAUUAAGGAAAUUUGUCUCCAUUGUUUCAUGCUAAAUUAAGCUCUUUCACAAGUUGGUGUGCAAGGCUCAUAGCAGCAUAUGUCACAUCACAUCCCAACAUCUACUAACUGAAUUUUAGAAUUGCAAUGUACAAGCUUGAUUUCUUUCACCUUCUCUAACGGAAUGAUAUUUUACCUUUGUUCUUCCAUGUAGAUUAGGUUGUGAGCUAUGGUUAUGACAGAUUUGAUAUCACAAUUUAGGAUAAUAGGCUCUAUUUGCUCCAUCAUCAGGUCUUGUAAAUUUUUUUCAGGUCAUAGAGCUUGAUUUAUAACAGCAACACUGCAACAUACUCUAGCUUCACUUUAGACGAAGCAAGCAUUUCUUGGUUCUUUGAAUUCUAGCAAAAAGGAUAUGAGCCAAAAAAGAACAAGUAACCUAAAGUGCUCUUCAAGCUUUAUAUUUGAGAUUUUAAAAUACCAAACACUAAGAUCAGUUUUACUUUUGAUGUAUAUUAAGACAUUCUUGACCACUUCCAGAUGAAAUUCAUUAGGAGAAUUCCUGAAUCUUGAAAGUAAACUCACUGAAAGACAUUAACAUAUAUAGGCCUUAUAGCAAUCAAACAAAGCAAGCUACUAAUUAGACUCUACAAAGAGAUGCUUCAACAUAUUUCCAUCAUCAUAUAUUUAGAUAAUUUUUCAUUUGAGGAUAAUGGAAUAACCACAGACUUGAAAUUUUUCAUGUGAAACAAUUUAACUAUAAUCUUUCUUUUGCAUUUGAAUAUUAAGGGAAAAAAAAAUCCCAAAGCUAGGUUAUUUAUCAUAUGAACAUGAUAUCGACUUCCCCUUAAUUUUAUAAUCCACAACUAGGUUGUUGUAAUACCGCCUCAAAAAAUAAUAGUAAAAAAAGACUUAUAUAUCUAAAAACAAUAGGAAUAAUAAUAAAAAAAAAAGACUACCCAUUCGAAAAAGAAUCCAAGAAUUGAGAAUUGUUUUAAUUAAUUGCAAGUGUCAUUUCUUUUCUAUAUUGCAAAGUGUCCAUUAUAUUUGACCCAUGUGUGAAAGAAAUAUUCUGUAUAUCUUAAAUGAAAAGCAUUUUGGGAAGUAAAAAAAAAAAAAAAUUAUAGUUUUAUUUUUGAAUACUACAUUAUUUAUUAUUUGCAAAUAAUAAUAUUAAAUAUAAGAUGAAUAAUGUUCUGAUACUUUGAUAUAUCUAAAAGGAAAUAUUUACUAUCCAACCAAGUAAUAAGUAAAAAAUAAAGAGUAAUUCUAGAAGAAAUAACAUCAAACUUUAAUAGUAAAAUAAAUAACAUCCAAGUUUUUUCACUUGAUAUGCUAAUCUGGGUUUAAAAUACAACUUAUAGAUUAAGUUUUCAUUAUUUUAUUUAUUAAUAGUAAUAAUUAAUAUCUUUAUUUUCAAAUUUUUUUUUUAAAAGCUUAAUUAUUAGUAUCAAAUGAAAUAAUUCAUUUAUAUCUGAUUCUCCCUUAGUAGUAGACAACUCAUGGUUGCACUAGACUAAAACAAUUUAUGCAUUUGAUGACAGCUUUAUUUCAAGCUAAUUGACUAUGAAACAACUAGAUAGAAAAUUUAAGUAUUACCAUUUUGAAGGAAGGGCCAAGGGAUGAUGUAGCCAAAUUCGAAUAUUCAUUGAGCUGAACAAAAUUAUUGUUGGAACCAUUAAUUAAAAUCUCCAAAGAGUUAGAUACGACAAUAGAAAUCUUUUGUCUUUUUAAACACUUAGGAGGGAGCGUUUUGCCCAUUUGUCUGGUCCCCACUGGUUCAUUAUCAAAUGAAGUCAAUUUUAACUUAAAAAAUUAGUAUUACCUGAAGUACCUUGUUGAAUUGCUACAGUUGCUAUACACUCCAGUUCACCAUAUUUUAUAUUUUAUAUCUUCUAGAACAUGCUGAUUUAAUCAUGUUUUGCUCUAGCUUUGGGACAAAGUUUGAUUUUAAAUCUUGUUUCUAAGGUCACCAAGUAGCUGUAGUCUCAUCUAUAUAUUUGUGUACAUACUGCAGUUUUAUAAGAAGUAAAGAAACCCAAAUAUUCUCUCUUCAUUUCAUCUUCUCCAUAGCUAGAAAACACCAACAGCCUUUUAAAAUUCCACAAGAAAACAAUUAUAUCUAGAUCAUUUUUGAACUAUGCCUUCAGCCUAAGUUCUUGUUCCUUCAUUAACCACUUCAUCUUUCUUUGGAUAGAUUUCUUUCCUGUCCAAUUUUUCACAAGCAGGCUAUGGGCAAUGUCUUUAAGAUUCAAUGCGGUGAUAUACCAGAAGCAGUGGAAAGGAAUCAAGGUGGUGACUGACGCACAAGAACAAAUCUAAUGGAAACUGCCCUUCUACAGGUAACCAGAUUUUUCUUUAUAAGGAGAUUUGUUAUUUUUCGCAUGAAAUUUACGUAUGAAGCUAAUUGAUGCAUGUUGCGGAUAACAGACAACAGAAGUAAAACCUGAAUUCUACAUUAUAAAUAGAGAUAUCAUGGAAAUUUAAUGCUUGUAAUUUAGCCUAAAUUUAUAAUCACUGAGUUAUAAUUUUGAUUUACUGAAGCAAAUUUGUCAUACAAUUUCCUUAAUGUUGUUAAUACUGGAAAAUUUUGAAUAUUGUCAUUGAGUCUGACGCUACCAAUCCAAUUUCUUGCUUAGCAAUUUACAGAGGCAGGCCAUCAAAAUUGUGGAAUGAUUUCGAUGUGAUCAAGGUUCCAAGGCAAAGGAAGGAGUAAACUUGUGCAAUAAAGGAUCGGAACGUUUUGAGUUUUUUUUUUUUUUUUUUUUUUUUUUUUUUUGGUGAUAAAUUGUCAGGACUCGAUUGUAAUGUUGUAACUGAGCUUGAAUUGAUUGGACUUGAUUGUAAUUGUAUUUGAUUUUGAUUUGUGAGUUUAUUGCUUACAUGGCAGUUAUUGAAAUGUGAUAUAAAUAUGCAGCUGAUGUAAUGCGGAUUGAAUUGUCAUUUCAUUUCUCAAAUUUUUUAUCUCCCAAGUAUGUCCAUCUUUCUCCCUUCUUCUCACUUUUCUUCUCUUUUUUUCUAUUUACCCUCUGUUUCUCAGUAAACAAACGAUAGUUAAAGAAUUAAAUUGAUAUUUUGCAGCGCCCACUUCAUCAAAUACACUCAGGAAGGUCUUUAUAAUAUUCCAUUCUACUGUACAAAAGACCUGUACCAUGCUAGUCACUAUUUCACAGCUUCAAUCACUCAAUUAUGUUAUCAAAUACAUUAGACAUAUAUAUAUAUAUAUAUAUAUAUAUAUAUAUAUAAAGAAUUAAAUUCAUCAGUUGAUUAAUAAAAAAGACAGAACUAAAUUUCUUUCUUUCGAUCAUAAACCUCAACCUCUGUCAAAGCGAUGUUCAAACAUUUCUUUUGAUCAUAUGACUUUUAUCUGAUAUCAAAUUUGGUUGGUUCAAAGUUGAUCUCAGAUCUCAGAUUAAUACAAAUGAUUCAGAGUAUAUAUANNNNNNNNNNNNNNNNNNNNNNNNNNNNNNNNNNNNNNNNNNNNNNNNNNNNNNNNNNNNNNNNNNNNNNNNNNNNNNNNNNNNNNNNNNNNNNNNNNNNNNNNNNNNNNNNNNNNNNNNNNNNNNNNNNNNNNNNNNNNNNNNNNNNNNNNNNNNNNNNNNNNNNNNNNNNNNNNNNNNNNNNNNNNNNNNNNNNNNNNNNNNNNNNNNNNNNNNNNNNNNNNNNNNNNNNNNNNNNNNNNNNNNNNNNNNNNNNNNNNNNNNNNNNNNNNNNNNNNNNNNNNNNNNNNNNNNNNNNNNNNNNNNNNNNNNNNNNNNNNNNNNNNNNNNNNNNNNNNNNNNNNNNNNNNNNNNNNNNNNNNNNNNNNNNNNNNNNNNNNNNNNNNNNNNNNNNNNNNNNNNNNNNNNNNNNNNNNNNNNNNNNNNNNNNNNNAAUGGACUUCAACAAGGCAUCAGUUAUGACUGGCAUUUUCCCAUGUUUGCUGCUGUCUGCACUCAGAUGUUCAUGAACUGCCGCAAGUUGUGCAUCUGAUAGAAGAGCUUGUAGGUCAGCUCCACUAAAUCCUUCUGUCAUACGUGCGAUGGCAUCUAAGUCAACAUCAUUGUCUAUCGGUAGCUGCAUUAAUUUGCAGAAAGCAGACAUAAGAAACGCAAAAAAAAACAGCAAUACUUUACAUGGAUUCCACCAAAAAUUAAUUCUGGGCAGAACCACUCACCUUUCGGGAAAGAACCUUAAGGAUGUCUAACCUCUCCUGCAGAGAUGGAAAAUCGCAGAAAAGAAGACGAUCUAACCUACCAGGUCUGAGCAAUGCAGCAUCAAGUAGAUCUGGUCUACUGCUCGACAAAUGUGAGAAUGAGUGAGCAUGCAAAUGAGUGGAGAGAGAGAGAGAGAGAGAUUUACAUAAAGGGUAAAUCAGAAACUAUAGCUGUAAACAUUCAACAUAAUUGAAGAAGAAAAUCCCUACAAUGUACCUUUUCCACUACAUAUCAUUUAGUACUUACUGUUAGUGCCCAUUUUGCAACUCAUAUAUUCAUGGAAAAUAAUGGAGAAUUGGUUUUUAUUGAGAUAUGGUAUGAGACUAGAAUCUGUGCUACCAUCCUAUUUAAACUAAAGCUUAUGUGCAGAACAUCAUUUGAUAAGUUACUAAGGAUGUACAACAAAUAUUUAACUCAACAAGCAAUACAAAAUUUUAUGCAUCAUGCUGUGGUACUCAUGCGCUAAAAUACUGUUAACUAUUUAUCGAGUAUCUGAUUUAAGUAAUUGAAGAGGCUACAGAGGCAUAAUGCAAAAGUAUCUUUCCACACAUAUUAGUAUUGACUAUCCAAUAAUUAGUGCCAUGAGAAUAACCUAAAAUAACAUAACUUUAACUCCAGAAAGAAACUAACCUUGUUGCAGCGAAUACGAAAACACCAUCUAAUUCCGUGAGAAACUGAGAGAGGAGAGGAAUGUUACAAUGAGAAACUUAAUUCAGAAAACGAACACAAAAAAGAAAAAAAAAUGAAAAAAAAGAAAAAUGAAAGAAAAUAUGAAACUGACUUGAUUAACAACACGAUCAGUAACACCAGUAUUGUCAUGCCCUCUUUUUGGGGCAAUGGAAUCAAAUUCAUCAAAAAAGAGAAGGCAUGGUGCUGCAGCAGUGGCUUUCGAGAAAAUAUCACGAACCUGCAACCAAAGCAAGAGCAUCCUUAACAGCCAUUUUUGCAUUAAAUUUUAUGCCAAAGAAUCACUGAACAUAUUUCCAUUUUCUCGAAAACAACCACUAGCUUACAAUACUGUGCUCUCAAUUGUCACCAAUGGAGCUACAAAUCAGUUGCAGAACAACAGUGUCAAAGGUUAUCAUAAUAAAAAGUUGUUCAGACUCCCUCUCCCCUCUUAUUUCUUGUUUACUUUCAACAAAGAUAAAAUAAUAUUAUUCAUGCAUCAAAAGUAAAAUAAAAUUAUUUAUGCAUAGAAGUUCCAUGGGAAUAUCUAUUGGUCUUCAUCUUUUGAUGUUGAAUCCCAAAGAAUUCUAUUUCAACCAAAAACAAAUGAUAGACACAUUGAAAACGCAGAAGAAAAAUAUAAACUGGUAAAAAGACAUCUUGAUAUUAAAAAAUUAAGGACCUGGUUUAUUGAACUCUUAGAAUUUAGAUACCCUAAAAGAAGCAUAAUGAUUGCAAAUAGGAACUCUCCACGAAGACCUUGGAUCACAAUUAGGACAUAGAGAGGGUUUCUGUAUGGAGAUUUAGAUUUACUAGCACAUCAUCCUUCUUAUGAUUUGUGCAUAGCACAUACUGAGCACCUCAACAAACUAAUUUAAUUGAAAACUUUUCUUAUGUUAAGAGUACCAUAUAAUCAGUUUUUAUUUGGAUUGACACAGAUCCAAAGAUAGAUAUUUUUAUCACUGUUCCAAACUUUUAAACCAACAAACAUCAAGUUGCUUCUAUAAUCCCACAACCACCCUGAUCCAAGCCAAGUUGCGUCCCUUUUAACAACUAUUCUAACUUGUGCCUUCUUUUUCAAAAAUGUCUCUAGAUAUAAAUUGAUAAAUUCAGAAUCAAGUGAGAAAGUCACAGCAUAUGUAUUAUGCAUUAAAAAAGAGCAUAGAUCAAUCAAGAUCAAGAUAAAAAAAAAAAAAAAAAGGCUUACAAGGCUGGGAUAGGUAUGUCAAUUACCAAGUGUCAUUGAGAUAUCAAGAAAGAAAAUAUAAAUCAACUAAUUGCUAUCUUACAGCUUGCUCAGAAGCACCAAUAUAUUUGUUCAACAGCUCAGGCCCUUUCACUGAUAUGAAUCGCAGGGAACAAGCAGCAGCAGCAGCACCAACAAUGUGAGUCUUUCUACAACCAGGAGGACCAUAUAAGAGAACAUUUGACCGCAGUCUUAAAGGAGCUUGGGCAAAAAUAUUUGGGAACUUUGAAGGCAAUUCAAUCAUCUGCCAUUUUAAUCAAGCAAAGAACAAACAAACAAAAAUGAAAACUUCCAAUACAACAUAGAACAAGCACGGGAAUAAAAAGAAAGGGUUAAAAUAUCAACUUAUUAGCUGACAAAAAAUCUGUCUAAGCACCAGUUAAAGAGAGAGAGAGAGAGAGAGAGAGAGAGAGAGAGACUAUGGUUUUACUAAUGUUCUGAAGUCUAUUAUCCAUGCAACACAGUGAUGAUAUAGCCGUCUCUGAAAACAUUGCCAUCAACACCACUGCCAGUCAUCAAUGUGGCCACAAUUACCAUUUUUAUAGUCACCUUUUUUCUUUUCACAAGCAACUAUAAAUCCUUUUAGGUCUAAACAUUGUCAGUCUUUUAUCUUCUAAAACACUUUAUACUUUCCCAUGUAUUUUAAAUGCUGAAAAAUUUCCAAUAUUGCAACCAAAACAAAUCAUUCUCUCAAAAAGUAUUUUCCUCUAUAUGCAAGUUUUUUCAAUGAAACAAAAGAGGCCUAAAUAAUGAAAUAUUUUCAAAUUAGCUGUUAAGGUAAGAAGUAAACUCAUUAAGCAUACAUCUUUACUAGCAUUUCUGAUGUCCUUAAGACCACCAAUAUCUUCCCAUCCAGAGCGACCACUUUCAGGAGAAGAUUUAGUAAUGUCACGCAUGGCAACAGGAAGAAACUCAUGCAUUGCCUGAGAAAAAUCAUCCCUGACCAAAGUGGGCACCUCAUGUUCUUCAAAAGUAUAUUGAGAAGGCAAAAAACGGCCAAUGCAGCAUGAACAGUUCUAUCAACCAAUAUUUCCUGACCAAAAAGAAAUCAUAUUAAAAGUUAGAAUAUGUAAGUCAGCAAAACAAGUUUGAAUUGCAAAUCUUUCACUCACAAGAUUGCACUUAUCCUAGCUUAAGAUGCACUUUUAGGCAUAAAACAUCCAUGAAACUUAACUUCAAUUAUAAACUAGAUACAUGUAGUUAACAUACAAUUCAAAGGACUUCAAUAAAAGAUUGAGAACACUGUCUCAAGUUAUGAUCAUGUUGAAAGCUUGAAUAAAUAAGCUUGUAUGUUAAUUAUGAUUUAUGAGAAUGAAACAAAUUGAAUAAAAUAGGCUAAUAAAUUGAGUAGCAUAUUCUUAAUUCUUAUUAAUAAAAGUAACAGGAAGAAGUGGGCAUAAAACAAAUAGAUGAGUUUUAUGACUCUGCAAGUUGUUAGACUCCAAUAGGCCAAAUCUAUUACAUAAAGUUAUCACAUGCCAAAUCUAUUACAUAAAGUUAUCACAUCUAUUAACUUUGUCAAAGGGAAAUCCCACAUUCAGAUCCAUCAGCCUAAUUUAGGACAGCAUAAAAGAGUGAUGAUUCUUCAAAACCUCAGAUGCACAAAUUUACUGAUUUCCAGCACUUUCAUUGACAGAAUUUGAGGAAUCAAUUCUUUGGUUAAGUAGACAUAUUGUUAGGAUUAUUAGCCAUUAAUCCCAACCUGUUGUGUUUGUUUGAUAAGAAAGUGAAAGAAAGAUUGAGAAAAUACAAAAUAGAGGAGAGAAAGAAAGGAACCGGGAAAAUAUAGUAGAAUUCUGUUAUUAUUGAUUAAUUCCAAAGAAUCACAGUUUACAACUUUAUACAUCACUAUUUAUAGUGCAAUCUAUCAAUGACACACAAGCAACAACUAUAUCUAAAAUCAGACUAUAAUUGUACCCUUAAUCCUAAGACAUGAAUAGUUCUCAUAUACCGCUGGCAGAGAAACAAAUAUAAAAGCAGUAAUCAGAAGUGAAGAUAUGUACCAGAUCAUAUGCAUCAUAACCAUCACAUUUGGAAGCUACAUCUUGCAAAACAUCGCUGGAACAUUGAAGCGAACGUCUCUGAAUUUCAUGCCUCAGUAUAGCCAGACGUUCUGAGGCAGCAGGAGCAGGAAGUUGCACAUGAAAGUCAAACCGUCCUAAAAGCAGUAAACAGAAUGCCAAAGAAAAAAAAUUACCAACAAAGGAGAAAAGGAAAAAUUAGCAACUGAUUUCUUAGAUAAGAACUCCUGUAAGCCAAAAAAAUGAAAUAAGAGAGACAAACCUGAAGUGCUCAAUGACUGGGGAAUACUCUUCAGAGUCUGCACAGAAGCUAUAAAAGCAAUUGGACCAAUUCCACAAGAGCUCUUCCUUUUUUGCUGUUCAUAAGAUACUAAUUAGGUGAAUAGGGAAUCAUGGAAACAAAUAUUGGAAACAACAUAACCAUGCCAUGCUAACAUCAGGAUUACAACAGAGGCCUCUCAAGAAGCCAGGAAAAUAACCAAAUAACUAUUUUGUGCCUUAUAACAUGUACUUGCACUAUAAAUUCAUAAAUUAUGGGCCAUUAAGCAGACUAUAUCCCAUAAAAUAGUAGGUCUUAAAGAUGCUCGCAUAAUUUAGGACUUUUCCAAUGGAAAAAGAGAAAGAAAUAACUCUGACCCUAUUUCUUUUGUAAUGCAUGCGUAUCAGGGUAGAAACAAUACUGGAACUGCAAAAAUCCCGGCAACUGACAUCACAUAGCCUCAGUAAUCAGAUCGAAACACAUAGCAAAUCAUCAAUACUAGAAAUCUAUCACUUUUGCUUGAAUGACAACUUUUUUAGCUUAUUCAUUUAAUAAUAGCUUAUGAGCCAACAGCAAAAAGAUAGCACUACACUGAAUUUUCACGAAGAAAGGGCUUGUCUCUACUUAAUGCAAAGUCGUGGCGGCAUUAUUAAAAGUACCAAAUAAACAACCAGCAAUACAAAUUUCAAUAAAAUUUGAUAAACAUGCAAGUUUGUGUGCUACCAAUCAAAGCCUCAAGGAACUAACAACUGACAUGAAGCUAUUACCCCAUAUUCAUCCAUGAUGUCCGUCAGAAAAUUUGUAAGAGCAACAACAUGAAGCUACUUCCAUAAUUACCAAGAGAUGACACGAUAACCGUCAGAUAAUCCUAAACCCUAACUCAAAUACCUUUCAGAAACUUAACAAUCGCUUCAUUCACUCAAAUAAAUUUCUCUGAUUGUGUAGAAAUCUAAUUCGAAGCACGAAGGUCAGCAAGAUCUCUCUUUCUCCAUGCGUAUUCAAUUCAAUCGUCUCGUUUAAUUCUCAAAACAUGAAUUGUUAAUUGCUCUUUUACAUUUUAAAUUUCUGCUAGUUAUUUCUAGGGUUUGUGUUGAAUUGCAUAAUAUUUUGCGAUGAUAUGGUUUUGUUAUUUUAGCGUUUAUGCUUUGUACAGUGUAUGAUUAAUUUGUCUAUAUAUUAAAAUUGUUUCUAGUGUUUAUAUGAAUUAGGGUUAAUGUUGAAUUAAUUUUUAGGUUUUAGUUUUGUUUUCUGCUGACGUAUUUUUCCCUAUCUUCCUCUAUCUAUUGGUUUAUAUUGCUAAUACUUUUUUUUAUCCUAUACUUAAUAAUACGUGUUUUUCUAUUAUUGCAUAAUUUCUUUACAUUUGUCUGCCUUUAUUUUUCAGCUGCUGCAGUAUUGAUAGAUUUCUAAUUCUUUUGCAACAAAGAGCUGAUCUUUAAAUUGUUAUGUCAUGGCAGGUUGGUUUUCUGUCUUUGUUUAAUCAUAGUCGCCGUGAGAUUCAAGAAAGGAAGUAAGGUAGAGGUAUUUGGCAAAAAAGAGGUCUCUACUGGUGCUUGGCUAUGUGCUGAAAUAAUAUCUGGGAAUGGACACACGUAUAGCGUCAAGUAUGGUUCGUUUCUGGUGAGUAAUGAAGCAAUUGUGGAAAGGGUGCCUAGAAAGGCAAUUAGGCCUUGCCCACCUCCUAUGCAAGGGGUGGAUACUUGGGUUCCUGGUAAUCUUGUUGAGGCUUUUAACAAUCUCGCCUGGAAAACAGCAAGAAUUGUGAAGGUUAUGGGUAUGAACUACUUUUGUGUUAGAAUACUUGGAUCAUCCAAAGGUUUGCGGGUCCAUAAGUCUCAUCUGAGGGUUCGACAGUGCUGGCAAGAUGGCAAAUGGUUUGUGAUUGGAAAGGUAAUAUUUUCAAUUCUAACUUGUCUGUACACAUUUGCUGUUGUUGGGAAUAGUUGAAAGCUUCUGUCACUUGUUUGCAUAUAUCGGUGAAAGUGCUGUCCCUGAAAAUGCAUGGGCAACACAGCUGCCUCAAGCAAAAGCACUGAUGGCUGGGACUGUUGUGAUUCCUCAUAGAUCUUCUGGAUAUGGCACUUGGAUAAUCGCACUAUCUUCUUUUUUUUUUUUUUUUCCUCCCCUCUUGCUUUACAACCUAACUGUCACUAUCUAGCAAGUAUUCAGCACUUUGAUUUGUUGGACCUCUUUACUGAUUAGUGGUUUUGUUCUAAACUGUGGCUUGCUUGUUGGUCACUGUUUAUUGUUGGCAGAGAUUAAAUGCUCGCAGCUCAUUGAUAGGUUGUGAUACAUUUUUCUUGAGAUUCUCAAUAUGGGAAUUUUAUCACCUUAGUUCGAAUGUAUUCUUUUUGCCUUGUGAUUCAAAUUAUCAUAUAAUCAUUUCAUGUCAUUGUAACUAGUUAUAAUUUACAUCUUCUAAUUAUCGUUGAUGGCAUUUUGAAACAGGGUCCGGAGCAUGGCGCCAUGCCUAUGGAUAAAAGACAAUCAUAUGCGUGGAUAAAGCAAUAUGUUGGAGAUGAUUCCAGUCUGGUGGAGAAAAUGACUGACAUUCCAAAGUCUUGUGUGGUUUCAACUAGAACAUUGAAGAGAGGAUCACCAUUUGGCCUGUAUGAUCUAGAUGCUAAUUCAGUAGCUGCUCAAAAGAAGAGACUGAUUAUAAAAGAUGGUAGCCAUCAACAAAUUUUUUCAUUACAUGAAUCUCCAACUUAUGAAAAGGUAGAUGCAGUUGUUUAUCCAAAUGAAUUAUUGGGUGAAAAUCAUGUGCAUUCUUCUCAUAAUAUUCCUACGGCUCAAUUUUCUAGAAUGGAUGAAAGUAGGGGAACUGAUAGUUCUCUUGUAGAGUCCUCAUUAUAUUUACAUACUGAUGAUUGUGCAUCCUCUGUUGCUAGUUCUAGUUCUAUGAGCAAUGGUGGACACAACUCAGCCUUUAGGUUUUCUAGACAGCACAGUAACAAUUUAGAGGAUUACUAUAGUGAUGCUGAAUCAUCUUCUGGAGAGGGUUAUGAGAAAGAAGGAUGUUCAGUUUCACCAGAUGAGCAAUCGGGGGUAGAAUUCCAUUAGGUCAGAAUUACUAAAAUAUUUUUGUGCAAUUGAGGAUUUAUAUGCUUCAGGGCCUUUGACAUGGGAAGAUGAAGCAAGAUUGACAAAUCUACGUCAUAUGCUUCAUAUUUCAGAUGAUGAACAUUUGAUGGUGCUAAGAAAUUUGAUACCUGCUAAUAGUACCCUUCUUUUCCGCUUUAGGGAUUAGGCUUUUUUUUUUCUCUUUCUUUUUCUUCUUCUUUUUCUAUCACUCUUCAAUAUCUCUUCCCCAUUGAUAUCAAGAUGAUGUACAGGAUUCAAAUAGCCUGGAAGAAAUUGUACAAUGUAGAUCUCAUUUGUGUAUAUUUUGAUUUAAGAAGUUGCCAUACUUAAUUCAUUAUUUUCAUUAAUGCUUUCUUUUAUUUUAUUUAUUUGGCUGGAUGUGGAUUAGAAAUUUCCUUACUGUGAACUGUGAUGUACAGUUGAAGUUAUUGUUCUAAUGGGAAUUUAUCUUAUUGCUAUUCUCGAUUUUUCCAGUUUACUGAACUUGUUUAUUGAGAUCCAAUGUGUUGACUGGCUAUGUCCUUUGCAAGUUCAGCAAAAUUGAUUCUCAGUACUUAUGAGGUGAACAAUUGAUAAUGCUUUGCAUGAGGUGCUUUUGAUAUUCAAGAGGUGGCUUUAUCAAGAUUUUGCCACAUUUUUUUCUUUUCGCUGAUCAUUUCUAUGGGAUUUUUUCAUCAAACCGUUUUCAUAUUCUGUUACAUAUGGUGUCUAGCAGCAUGGUGAUGAAUAUGCUGAUGCUUCACCAGUGCAUAUCAUGGCCAAUGUGGGAGGCUUGCUUACUUGUUUGCAGAGGCCUCAAGAUGAUGAUUCAUAGAGUAAAGCUUAUACUGGGCAUAGAUUGUUGGGCAACAUCCACACUUGAUUUCCUACAGAAACUUGUGGCUGGCUGCCCUGGCCUUUGGUAUUAUCUUUUAAUUAUCUGUUUUAUUUUAAUACCAUUAUCUGUCAAAAUUUAAUGGUGUUAACACAACAUUAUCGUACCAUGUUAAUGAAAAUAAAAUGGCCUUAAUCCUGGCGGGUUAAAACAAUGGUAAUCAAAAUCAUGAUAUAGAAGCAUGCUGCUGCAUUUAAUUCCAACGUAAGGGAUGCUCUUUUUCUGGUUUGCUAUCUGAACUCUUCAAUUGUUUGGAUAAUCUGUCGUUUUAUGCUUUUUGCUUUAGUUCUAGUUCUAUGAGCAAUGGUGGACACAACUCAGCCUUUAGGUUUUCUAGACAGCACAGUAACAAUUUAGAGGAUUACUAUAGUGAUGCUGAAUCAUCUUCUGGAGAGGGUUAUGAGAAAGAAGGAUGUUCAGUUUCACCAGAUGAGCAAUCGGGGGUAGAAUUCCAUUAGGUCAGAAUUACUAAAAUAUUUUUGUGCAAUUGAGGAUUUAUAUGCUUCAGGGCCUUUGACAUGGGAAGAUGAAGCAAGAUUGACAAAUCUACGUCAUAUGCUUCAUAUUUCAGAUGAUGAACAUUUGAUGGUGCUAAGAAAUUUGAUACCUGCUAAUAGUACACUUCUUUUCAGCUUUAGAGAUUAGGCUUUUUUUUUUCUCUUUCUUUUUCUUCUUCUUUUUCUAUCACUCUUCAAUAUCUCUUCCCCAUUGAUAUCAAGAUGAUGUACAGGAUUCAAAUAGCCUGGAAGAAAUUGUACAAUGUAGAUCUCAUUUGUGUAUAUUUUGAUUUAAGAAGUUGCCAUACUUAAUUCAUUAUUUUCAUUAAUGCUUUCUUUUAUUUUAUUUAUUUGGCUGGAUGUGGAUUAGAAAUUUCCUUACUGUGAACUGUGAUUUACAGUUGAAGUUAUUGUUCUAAUGGGAAUUUAUCUUAUUGCUAUUCUCGAUUUUUCCAGUUUACUGAACUUGUUUAUUGAGAUCCAAUGUGUUGACUGGCUAUGUCCUUUGCAAGUUCAACAAAAUUGAUUCUCAGUACUUAUGAGGUGAACAAUUGAUAAUGCUUUGCAUGAGGUGCUUUUGAUAUUCAAGAGGUGGCUUUAUCAAGAUUUUGCCACAUUUUUUUCUUUUCGCUGAUCAUUUCUAUGGGAUUUUUUCAUCAAACCGUUUUCAUAUUCUGUUACAUAUGGUGUCUAGCAGCAUGGUGAUGAAUAUGCUGAUGCUUCACCAGUGCAUAUCAUGGCCAAUGUGGGAGGCUUGCUUACUUGUUUGCAGAGGCCUCAAGAUGAUGAUUCAUAGAGUAAAGCUUAUACUGGGCAUAGAUUGUUGGGCAACAUCCACACUUGAUUUCCUACAGAAACUUGUGGCUGGCUGCCCUGGCCUUUGGUAUUAUCUUUUAAUUAUCUGUUUUAUUUUAAUACCGUUAUCUGUCAAAAUUUAAUGGUGUUAACACAACAUUAUCGUACCAUGUUAAUGAAAAUAAAAUGGCCUUAAUCCUGGCGGGUUAAAACAAUGGUAAUCAAAAUCAUGAUAUAGAAGCACGCUGCUGCAUUUAAUUCCAACGUAAGGGAUGCUCUUUUUCUGGUUUGCUAGCUGAACUCUUCAAUUGUUUGGAUAAUCUGUCGUUUUAUGCUUUUUGCUUGUUAUAUGAUGAACAUUCCAUUUGUAGUGCACUUCAGUUUCUUUAGCACGCCUUAACACUUUGGAAUUGGACAGAGUUUAGGCUGAUUAUUAUGCUGAUCCUUCACAAGGAUAUAUGGCCAUUUCCAAGACUUCUAUAAAUUGUUUCUAGAAGUCUCCAGCUGAUGACGCGUGACAUUUACCACUGUACUUCUGUUACACUUAGGAGAAACAUCUCUAAUUGAUUUCCUAUAUAAAUUCUCAAGACUUCUAUAAUUAUUAAUGAUUAAUAAAAAAUCAACAUUUCAUAAUAUAGUAUAUAUGUAGCAUUGGUUGAUGCUGAUUUUGUGUAUCCUCUGAUGGUACUUGUGUGGCUGCAAUAUCAUUUGCAAUCUGCCAUGGUGUACUAGUAUAUUCUUCGGUGGACAAUGAUGGGAGAAAGAAGGAUGCCUGCUUCCCGCUGUGAUAAAUUAAGUAUAUUGGUGCAAGAAACAUGCCCGGCACACCACCAUUUGAACUCUGGAGAAGUAAAGUUAAAAGAAUUUUGUUGAAGUUGAUUAGUAAAGCUUUUCCCUGGAAGUUUAGAUUAUGUUUAUGCUUUAUCGUUAUUAUUACAGUGUUUUAUGGAAUCAACAAUAUUGAUAUCAAAAUGCAAGAUUUGCAGCUUCUGAUGUUGGCCAUAUGUAUCUUCUGCGCAUCAGAGCUAUCACCAGGAGAUAAGCUUCUCAUUUUCAUUCUGUCUAUGCUAAAUGGAUCUAUAAGUUUCGAGAAAUGGCCAAUUACAUAGUUCAAUUUCUGUAAAAAUGGAAGUAUCAUGUAAUACUAAAAGUUACUGGUUUAUGCAGGUUUUGAUUAAAUAUUGUACUGUGUUUGUUGCUUAAGCUAGAGUUUCAACUGAACAUGAAUUCAGUGAUCAUUAUUUGUACAACGGAAAAACAUUGGUAAUAGUGUGUGUAAUUAUUCACAGUACUCGAUCUUUGUUUUUGCAACCAAGUUAGUUCUUUACUUUUUUAAGUAUAUUACCAGUUCAUUUGUAAUUGGUGGACAGUUGCUGGGUGCUGCUAUCUGUUACAUUAUUCUGUGUUUUCCCAGGUAUCAAAUUAAUCAAUUGAAUAUCUAGUUUGUUUUGUGACUUGAGAGACUUAACUUAAAUCAAUUAGAUAUAAAUGUUUCCCGUGUUUAAUUGUGGGCACAUUCGAUCAAUGCCUGAAGGUAUGCAUUUUAACGCACAUCAUUAUUUGCAGGAUGAUAAAAACGUACUAAAAUGUUAAGAGAUCCCAAAUUAAAAGGUCUAAUGCAUAAAUUUGAUAAUAUUUGUGGCAGUGCAGGAUUGAACCUUGUAGUUUAAGGGGUCAUGAAAAGAAUCGUUCCAAGUACAAGUAUGAUUAUCAGUGGCUCAGUGCUUUUAGUUAGGCAUGGACAUUUUAUGGUCUGGGCUCAUAUUUAUGGGCCUGGUGAAUCCAAGCCCAUUUUCAGAUCCAGUGUAACUUUGCAUACACCGGGGCCUAAGGAUUGCUUUGGCUUUUAAAGAGAUCAAAGCAUUUUGAACCUGCUUCUUUGCUUACUAAGUGGGUGAGGAAUUAAUUAAACGAAAAUCUAGACCAUGAAGAAGACUCAGAAGAGCAGUCCUUUUAUAGAAUGAUGUGAACUUCCAAUGCCAAUUCGGAGACUUACCAUAUAUUGGUUGCUAUACCUGUGAAUAGAAACAGAUUGGCUGCAGAAACUAGAUAUAUUAUCUAUGGAUAAUACGGUGGCUGCAAUUUACCAGAUAAUAAUUUCCAAGUCUUGAAGCAAUUUACCUCGUUAAGGGAAUUAAGUCAGAUCAAUCAUCAAGCUCUACACCACGGAUUCAAAAGGCUCCAUCUGUGCUGCAUGACAUCCAGUAUUUCCACCAACACCUUGAACCAAAAGUGUACUCCUUUGGUCCUAUCCACCAUGGUCGAUAUAAUCUUCGACGGGGAGAGGAGAUGAAGCACAAGCUAGCGGCUCAGUUUAUUAGUGAUUAUGAACUCGAUGCAAGUUCCAAAUAUGACAAAAUCUUGAAGCAGAUACGAAAUUUCAGGGAUUGUUAUGAUAAGGAUGUGAUGGAGAAAUACGAUGAUCAGCAGCUUAGCCGGAUAUUUUUUGUGGAUGGAUGUGCAUUGCUAUUCUAUGUAAUUUGCUGCACAAGUGAUGACUUGUAUAGAUUAAGGACUCUGAACAUCACUGCAAUCUUGUCUCACAAUGAUCUUUUCCUUCUGGAGAACCAACUUCCUUAUGGUCUACUAGAAAUAUUAAGGGAAGGGGCUCAAACAGGCAAAGGUAUGUAUAAUGAUGUUAUAUGCCUGUAUAUAUAUAUAUAUAUAUAUAUAUAUACCAUUUCAGCGAUAUUUUCUAGUAUCCUGUUAACAUUUUUUUGAAUACACCCACCCAGGUCUGUCCCUUCUGAUGGACGAGUUCAUAAGAAGUCAGAAUAUGGUACCAGGAAAGCCAAUAGAAACUGAAGUAGUAGAAGGAAAAUGGAAGCCUGAUCAUCUUCUUGAGCUUCUAUGGAUGAAGGUAAGAUUUCCGAAAUGGAAUUGGUCGAAAGAAAUGUUACAGCGUCCCAAAAAAAAUUAUAAAAAGAUGAGCAAUCACUCUCGGGACGUCAGUGUACUUGCCUCAUCAUCCCCAUCUUAGACUGUCAAUAAGCUUAUUCAAAGUGGUAUCCGUUUGAAGCCUAGUGAUCAGUCAACUUCAUUAACAGACAUAUCUUUUAGAGGAAGAGGAAUAUUUAAGUUGUUGAAGCUUCGACCCUUAAUCAUUGACGAGUCAACAGUGGUUAAAUUAUCAAACUUACUAGCCUAUGAAAUGUGUCCAGGUUUAAAACAUGAACUUGAGGUAAUCUCUUUCGUAUGCUUCGUUAAUUCUCUGAUUGCAGAUGUAGAAAACGUCGGAAAAUUGAUUUCUAAAGGAAUACUGGUUAAUUUACUGUCGAAGCAUGAAGAGGUUUUUAACAUUUUUCGUGAAAUGGCUAAAAACUUAGUUCCAAAUCCUCACAUUUAUAAUGAUGUCCGGUGGGAUAUUCAGAACUACUUGGAUGGCAUGAAGCCAUUGGAGGUUUGGAUGCAGGAGCUGAUUCGAGUAUAUUUUGGGGCGCCAUGGAGAACGGUAACUUUUGGGUUGUCAAUUCUUACCAUUUACUUAACGGUGGUGCAAACCAUAUAUACUGGCUUGUCUUACCACAAACAAAUGAGAGAGCAAAAAUGAAUGAAUAUAAAUUUAGAUUUUUUAUUACAAAGAGUUAGCGUGCCGUCCUUUUUUUUUUUUUUUUCAAUUGUCUUACUUCAUGUUGAUGUCGUAUUGUGUUUUGUACUUUAUGUCCAGUCUCCAGACAACUUGUAUUCUAAUCGAUAAUAUUUAUUUUUCUGUUUUUUUUAAUUAGAACAAAAGACUUCUUAUUUUAUUUUAUUAGGAAAUUACAACUUCAAUCGGUCUCUCUCCCUUCAUAUUAUAUACAUUUUUCCUUAAAUAAAGAAAAUUUUAUCACAUAUAUAUUAAUUCAAAAAAAAAAAAAAAAAUCAUUUCGCUCGCUCAAGUUCUAAAAUCCCAAAUACUAUAUUACUAAUUAUAUAAACACGACGUCUUCACACAACUUCAAUCUUUUAAUCCUUAAAUUUAAAAUCUACAAUUAGGUUCUAAUGAUAUUAUGUAAACACUAGUAGAAGGAUUUACAUAUCUAAAAAUAAUAACGAAAAAAAGACUUGUAUAUCUAAAGCUACUCAUAUGAAACAGAAUCCAAUAAUUGAACAAAGAUUGCUAUUCAACAUAAUAACAAGAAAGAGCACUCUACUCUUAAAAAUUGUUUUAAUUGCAAAGUCUCCAUUAUGGAUUAAGUAGCCAACCAACUUCCAAUAUUCAUUAAACUGAACAAAACUAUUAGAAACUUUAAUUAAAAAACAACUACUUGCUUAUUUCAUUAAACAUUAACAUUUCAUAGUGACGAACAAGAGCAACGGUCCCCCACUCAAUGACCGAGUCAGUACCCACAAGAAGUCAACUUGGAGAAUGCAAGUUGAGGCAAUGGUUAAACAAUUAGUAUUAGCUUCAAGUAGCCUUUUACAAUUCCACAAGAAAACAAUUAUAUCUGGAUCAUUUUUGAACUAUGCCUUCGCCUAAGUGCUUGUUCCUUCAUUAAUCACUUCAUCUUUCUUUGGGUAGAUUUCUUUCGUGCCCAAUUUUUCACAAGCAGGCUAUGGGUAAUGUCUUUAAGAUUCAAUGCGGUGAUGCUUUGGCUGGCCGCUGCUGGGAUUGCAUUGCUGGACAUUGGCGGUAUAUAUACAAGCUUGAAGAUAAUCUUGAGGCAUUGGAGACUACAAGAGAUCAAUUAAGAGACCUAAGGACUGAUGUGAUGCGGUUGAACGUCAAUCAGGAAAGACCAGAAAUGGCGCAGAUGGAUCGAGUUGGAGGAUGGCUCUCGAGGGUGGAUGCUGCCAUAGUUAAAAUUAAUCAGCUGCUAAGCAAAGCUAUACAAGAAAGGCAGAAGUUAUGUAUAGCAGGCUGUUGCUCCAAGAACUGCAAAUCCAGCUACACAUUUGGGAGAAGUGUUGCAAGAAGUCUAAAAGAAGCGACUACUUUGAUCAAUGAAGGAGAUUUCAAAGAAGUGGUUAUGGCAGAACCAGCAAAUCAACUUCAAGCUAAUCUUGAAAAAUUGAAGACUUCAAGACAAGAAUUAUACGCAUUAAAGGAGGAUGUCAGGCAGAAUGUAGCGUUGGAGGAAGGGCCGGAAAAGAUGCUGCUGCAACAAGUUGGCUUGUGGCUUUCAAUGGCAGAAUCGACCAUAACUGAAGCAGAUGAGCUCAUACGAGAUGGUCCACCAGAAAUUCAAAAAUUGAGUCAUGGAGAUAUUUCCAACUACAGGUUUGUCGGAAGGGUCGCCAAAAAAUUAGAAGAUGUAGCCUUUGUAAAGGCCAAAGGAGUUUUCAAAGAAUUGGUUAGAAGAAUACCUGCAGAACCAGAUUACAUAAGUCAGCUUCAAGUUGAUCUUCGAGCUUUGGAGUCUAUAAUGAAAGAAUUAAAGGCUUUAAAGGAGGGAGUGAUGAUGAGGAUCACCUUGGAGGAAGGGCCACAAAAGAAGCAGAAGCCACACGUUCAACUUUGGCUCUCGAUGCUGGAACCAACAGUGACUGUAGCGGAGGAGAUGGUAAGAAAUGGUCCACAAGAAAUUGAGAAAUUGCGUCGUAAAGACUUUUCCAGCUACGAAUUUGUGCGAAAGGUGGCCAAAGUGUUAGAAGAAGAAGUUGCUCUAAGAGCCAAAGGAGAAUUCAAAGAGAUGGUUGAGAGGGUACUUCCAGACCCAGUAGCUGAAAGGAAUGAAAAACCAACAUUUGGCAUGGAAGCGAUGCUAGAUGAUAUUUGGAGAUGGUGCACACAAGAUGAACAACUGGGCACUGUUGGCAUAUAUGGUAUGGGGGGUGUUGGCAAAACUACUCUCUUAAACCAAAUCAACAACAAGUUUGCUAGUACAACCCAUAAUUUUGAUGUUGUGAUUUGGGUGGUGGUGUCCAAGGAUUUGAAACCUGACAAGAUUCAAGAAGAUAUUUGGAAAAAGGUUGGCUUUUUUGAUGAGACGUGGGCAAAAAAAAUCCCCAGUGAGAAAGCAGAAGAUAUAUUUUAUAGGUUAAGCAGAACGAAGUUUGUAUUAUUUUUGGAUGACUUAUGGCAGAAGGUUGAUCUCAGAGACAUAGGGGUUCCUCUGCCACAAAAAAAACAUGGGUCAAUGAUAGUAUUCACGACGCGUUCCUACAAAAUAUGCAGGCAAAUGGAACCCGAAAAAAUUAUGAAAGUGGAGCCUCUGAAUCAAAGAGAAUCUUGGACCUUAUUCCAGGAGAAAGUAGGGGAUAUUCCUCCGAAUAUCCUUCCUCUAGCUACAGAUGUUGUUAAGAAGUGUGGUGGAUUGCCACUGGCACUCAUCACAAUUGGCGAUGCCAUGGCUGGCAAAGAUGCAGUCCAAGCAUGGGAACAUGCUCUCGAGGUCUUAAGAAGUUAUGCCUCGAGUUUACAAGGAAUGGAAGAUGAGGUAUUUCAAGAUAUGGAGGUUGAAGUAUUUGCAAUUUUGAAGUUUAGUUAUGAUAGCCUACACAGUGAAAAAGUCAAAUCUUGCUUCUUAUACUGUUCCUUAUUCCCGGAGGACUUCGAAAUUCUCAAGGAUGAUUUGGUACAUUAUUGGAUUUCUGAGAAUUUUUGUGCUCGAAAUGAGGGAUAUACUAUAAUUGGUUCACUUGUUCGAGUAUGCCUGUUGGAAGAAAAUGGAAAAUAUGUAAAAAUGCAUGAUGUGAUUCGUGACAUGACUUUGUGGAUAGCAUGUAAAUAUGAAAAAGACAAGGAGAAAUUUUUCGUGCAAGUGGGUGCCCAAUUAACAAAAUUUCCAGCUGUCAAAGAAUGGGAAGGAUCAAAAAGAAUGUCGUUGAUGGCAAACUCCUUUAAAAGUAUCCGAGAAGUUCCUAGAUGCGGGGAUCUUUCGACUUUAUUUCUUGGUCAUAAUAGGUUUUUGACGGAGAUCAGUGGUGAUUUCUUCCAGUAUAUGUAUUCGCUCACCGUUCUUGAUCUAUCAGAGACACGUAUAAAGAAAUUGCCAGAGGGAAUUUCAAAAUUAACCUCAUUGCAAUAUCUUAAUCUGCGUAGUACAACUAUAAGACGGUUACCAGUUGGGUUGAAGUUAUUGCAAAAGCUGAAAUAUUUGAACUUGGAGCGUAAUGAGUUGCUAAAAUUUAUUCCAAGGGGAGUCAUAUCUAGUCUGUCAUCGUCACUGCAAAUUUUGAUAAUGUGCCCAACCGGUGAUGUUGUUUCUAAAAAGGUAAAUAACUUAUUGGGUGAAGGCAAUAUGCUAAUAGAGGAGCUCCAGUGUCUUGUAAAUUUGAAUGAACUAAGCCUCACAAUAAGAAGUAUCUCUAUGCUUCAGUUGUUUCUCAGCAUCCACGAAUUAUUCAACUGUGCUCGGUCUCUGAUACUUGUAUGGUUUGAAGGUACAAAAUCUCUUAAUAUUUCCUUUACUGCUUUAGAAGAGUUGAUCGUGGAUGUUAUGGUUGGUGAGAGUUCUACACAUCAUCAUACUAUCAGCAACUCAAUGGUCUCAGCUCCAGUAUGCUUCAAUAGCCUCCGGGAAGUGAAUGUAUCGGGUAACGUCCAUCUGCGAGAGCUGACAUGGGUUGUUCUAAUCCCAAAUUUGGAAAUUUUGAUAGUGAAAUUCAAUGAGCAUAUGAAAGAAAUUGUAAGUGCUGAAAAGUUAAGUGAGGUUCAAGUUGGAAGUGAAAAUAUGAACCUAUUUUCAAAACUCCAAGUUCUUGAAUUGUCUAAUUUACCAGAACUGAAAUGCAUAUAUAGGAAUGCUGUGUCUUUUCCACUUUUGAACAGAAUACAGGUACAUGAAUGCCCAGAGCUGGAGAAUAUACCAGAAGCACUGCAAGGUUGUGCGUCACUGUUAUUAAAUAAAUUAGACUCAUAUAUGUAUGAAUAAUGAAUUAAAUUCAUUAGUUCAUUAAUAAAGAAAAAGACAGCAGUAAAUUUGUUUCUUUUGAUCAUAAACCUCAACUUCUGUCAAUGCCAUGCUCAAUCAUUUGUUUUGAUCAUAUGGCUUUUAUUUGAUAUCAAAGUUCACUGGUGCGAAGUUGAUCUCAGAUCUCCAUUAAUACAAAUGAUUCAGAGUAUAUACACAGCAGAAGUUAUAUGCAUCUUAAUGGAGUAUUAUACAUUAAUUUAAAUACGAAGAAAUUUACUAUAAUGGAGAAAAUGGAAUGAAAUAUAUGUUAGGAUAUUAUUAUAAUAAGUAUUAAUUUUGGGAGUUUCAUUGUAAUAAUUUGCGAAUACAAUUGAAAGUUAUUUUGUUACAGAGGUACCGAAUUGUUAUUAGUAAAUUGCUGAGAUGUAAGUUGAUAUGGCUUAUUUUAUCUGAUUGGGCCCCCCAUCAGCAGGCAUAUAUUAUAUAUAUACUCUUGUAAUGAGACAUUUUAGGGUUACUGAAUGAAUACACUAUUUCCCUAAACACUUUUUUCUUCAAGUACUAUGUUUAUAUAUUUAAUUUCUAUAAAAAUUCAACUUGUAAGAUCAUAUUUUUGACAUAAUUUCAAUAUCAUUAAAAUAAUUGAUGAUAGUUAAUAUUUAAACAUUUACUUUUUUUUUUUAUCAAAAUAGAAGAUUUAAAUCUGUAUCUAUUGUUCACGAAGUAUGGACACUUAUCACUGUUAACUUUGUUGGAAUAAAAAUAAAAUUCAAAAAUCAAAAUUUUCCUUAACUAAAGAAAAGUUUAUUAUAUAUUAAUAUUAAACAUUUAAAAAUUAUUCAUUUGGCUUGGCUCUCUCAAAAUUUAAAAAAUUUAUAUUCCAAUUUAAUUCGACUCUGGCUCCAUUUUAACUCUCUCUCUCUCUCUCUCUCUCUCUCUCUCUCUCUCUCAAUGAUCGUGUCUAAUAUUUUUUUUUUUUCCUCUCUUAUUUUUUUGAAAAUUAGGAUGAAAGUGCUUUUAUUUUAUUGUAAAAGGAAAUAAUUCUAUUUUGUCGUUAACUUGUACUCCACCUUAACACCCAACGCAAAAGAGAAAGAGCACUUUAACACACACACACACUUGAGAAGAAAUUCAACAAAAGUUGGCAAAAAAAUUCAACAAAAGUGUCCAUCAUUGUCCUUGGCAUCUUUUGGCUUUUUCUACAUGUUGUAAUAAUUAUCAACUUUAUGCUUUAUGUCUUUUCUAGCUUUACGUUGUUUCCUUUGAAAAAUGUGGCAUCCCACAGUAUUAUGUCUAGGAUUAUUACGUUGUAGGAUAAGAUCGCCAAAUGGGUUCAUCUCGUUGGUUCGCUUUGCCUAUAAAUAUGUAUGCUAAUCGCAUACUUUCUUAUCAAAAUUUUUCUUCGUGCGUGCUUUAUCUAUGGCCUCCGUUGGAACCAUUAAAAUCUCCGAAGAGCGAGAUACGAUCAUGUUUUGCUUGAUUUUAAAUCUUGUUUCUAAGGUCCCCAAGUAGCCGUGGUCUCGUCUAUAUAUUUGUGUACGUACUGCAGUUUUAUAAGAAGUAAAGAAACCCAAGUAUUCUCUCUUCAUUACAUCUUCACCAUAGCUGGAAAUCACCAACAGCGUUUUAAAC